This is a long non-coding RNA of Paralichthys olivaceus (Japanese flounder), 668 nucleotides long. RefSeq lists it as uncharacterized. Lineage: Eukaryota; Metazoa; Chordata; Actinopteri; Pleuronectiformes; Paralichthyidae. The record is from RefSeq and is a predicted model, not a curated record.
UCAGGUUUCUUUCUUCUUCUUUUUUUUUAAAUCCAGGACUAAACGAGAGGAUGAGGAAGAGAAAAUAUAAAACCGAACGACUCAUUGAUUUUGUCGAGGCGGUGGCAGCGGUGACUGGAAACAUCUGUCGCCCGACACGGAGACGGUUUCCUCGACGGAGAGAGAGGAAAGCGAAGGAUGAAGAAGAAGAAGGCUGCGGGCUCCGGAGGAAGUGAGGGCCGGGGGGCUGGAGCUCCGACGUGGCAGCGCACGGAGGAGGAAGUUUACCCACAAAGCUGCACGCACCACCGGGCAGCUCUCUGGCUCUGCCCCCCGGAACUUCUCCUGCAGGAAUCCGCUCCAAGGCGCAGGCUUAAGCCACACUCAGUGAGCAGCACGUGGUCCUCCUAAACUUUGACACCGAGGAAGAGGAUGAAGUGCACAGAGCCAGCACUGUGAUUGGUUUAGUUAAGCAGCAUCCAUCUUUAUGUAUUUAUUUUCAAAUAAUUAUUAUGAUUUUAGUCUUCAAACUGAUCAUUUUUUCUGAAUGGGCUGUUUAAUUCUAUGGUGAUGAGAAUUAUAAAAGAUUUACUGUCACUUUGUAUUGUUUGUGUGCUGAACAUUGUGUCUAUGGUGCAGAGUGAAGUUAGAAAACUUUCAUCCUACCUAGUUUAUAAGCGAUGAGGAUU